GCGGGGCCAACGUUCCCGAAGCCGAGUUCCCCAACGGCCAGCGGGGCGUCUUUAGCUCACCGCUCCCUCCUCCUCGGGACUUUCUCAGACUAGAUGAGGCUGAGUGCAUUCAGUAUGGUAAUAGUUGAGGACGGGGACCUCGGUGUCCAUCGGAAGAUGAAUGGAAAGAAGAGGUGGUUCAUGUAUACAACGGAAUAUUCCUCAGCCAUUAGAAACACAAAUACCCACCAUUUGCUUCGACGUGGAUGGAACUGAGGGUAUUAUGCUGAGUGAAGU
Molecule: long non-coding RNA, 276 nt
Filed under: Canis lupus familiaris (dog)
Lineage: Eukaryota; Metazoa; Chordata; Mammalia; Carnivora; Canidae
Description: lncRNA (ENSCAFG00845020658.1)
Source: RNAcentral